Molecule: ribosomal RNA, 1334 nt
Filed under: Kocuria sp.
Lineage: Bacteria; Bacillati; Actinomycetota; Actinomycetes; Micrococcales; Micrococcaceae
Description: bacterial SSU rRNA
Rfam family: Bacterial small subunit ribosomal RNA
Source: RNAcentral
GGCGGAUUAGUGGCGAACGGGUGAGUAAUACGUGAGUAACCUGCCCUUGACUCUGGGAUAAGCCUGGGAAACUGGGUCUAAUACUGGAUACUACCUCUUGCCGCAUGGUGGGUGGUGGAAAGGGUUCUACUGGUUUUGGAUGGGCUCACGGCCUAUCAGCUUGUUGGUGGGGUAAUGGCUCACCAAGGCGACGACGGGUAGCCGGCCUGAGAGGGUGACCGGCCACACUGGGACUGAGACACGGCCCAGACUCCUACGGGAGGCAGCAGUGGGGAAUAUUGCACAAUGGGCGGAAGCCUGAUGCAGCGACGCCGCGUGAGGGAUGACGGCCUUCGGGUUGUAAACCUCUUUCAGUAGGGAAGAAGCGAGAGUGACGGUACCUGCAGAAGAAGCGCCGGCUAACUACGUGCCAGCAGCCGCGGUAAUACGUAGGGCGCAAGCGUUGUCCGGAAUUAUUGGGCGUAAAGAGCUCGUAGGCGGUUUGUCGCGUCUGCUGUGAAAGCCCGGGGCUCAACCCCGGGUCUGCAGUGGGUACGGGCAGACUAGAGUGCAGUAGGGGAGACUGGAAUUCCUGGUGUAGCGGUGAAAUGCGCAGAUAUCAGGAGGAACACCGAUGGCGAAGGCAGGUCUCUGGGCUGUUACUGACGCUGAGGAGCGAAAGCAUGGGGAGCGAACAGGAUUAGAUACCCUGGUAGUCCAUGCCGUAAACGUUGGGCACUAGGUGUGGGGGACAUUCCACGUUUUCCGCGCCGUAGCUAACGCAUUAAGUGCCCCGCCUGGGGAGUACGGCCGCAAGGCUAAAACUCAAAGGAAUUGACGGGGGCCCGCACAAGCGGCGGAGCAUGCGGAUUAAUUCGAUGCAACGCGAAGAACCUUACCAAGGCUUGACAUUCACCGGACCGCCCCAGAGAUGGGGUUUCCCUUCGGGGCUGGUGGACAGGUGGUGCAUGGUUGUCGUCAGCUCGUGUCGUGAGAUGUUGGGUUAAGUCCCGCAACGAGCGCAACCCUCGUUCUAUGUUGCCAGCACGUGAUGGUGGGGACUCAUAGGAGACUGCCGGGGUCAACUCGGAGGAAGGUGGGGAUGACGUCAAAUCAUCAUGCCCCUUAUGUCUUGGGCUUCACGCAUGCUACAAUGGCCGGUACAAAGGGUUGCGAUACUGUGAGGUGGAGCUAAUCCCAAAAAGCCGGUCUCAGUUCGGAUUGAGGUCUGCAACUCGACCUCAUGAAGUCGGAGUCGCUAGUAAUCGCAGAUCAGCAACGCUGCGGUGAAUACGUUCCCGGGCCUUGUACACACCGCCCGUCAAGUCACGAAAGUUGGUAACACCCGAAGCCGG